CUUUUUUACCUGACAGUCAUAGCACCCUUGAAGAAGCUAUUUCUUUUAACUACAUGUUUUCAAAGCCUAGCAAGGUGUUUGUGGUGAAUUGAGCCUCUCAAAGAUGAAGUAAUCAGCUAAGUUAAACAGCUUAAUAGCAAGAGGAACAAGCCCUGCAUCUUCCAGUCUGGUGAAUCCUUUUUCCCGUAUAACAUGGGGAACAUGGAAAGGGGGAAAGACCCUUGACCCCACUAGUAAUCAGUUUACAAAUCACUUUUUAUUAUGAAGCGUUUCCAACAUACUCAAAGGAGAUCUACUUUCUAUGGCGCCAACCACACCAGUCGGCCAGAUAAACAGUGGCAAGGAGGAGGCCAAAGGAACAAGACAGGCAGGCUGCCCAAGGUGACAGUUUCGCCAGAGUGUGUGGCUUUGCUUCCCCAUCACUUGGAGUCCAUGGUGUGUCCCCUACUCUGAGCUCAGGAAGAUCUUCGUGGCUGCCUGCACAGAUCGCGUGUGCCAGGAGUGACUCAGUUUAACCCCUGAGGAGUGGUGAGGGGUGCGUGCUGUCCACCCAAGAUGCCCACCUUCCGAUCCAGCCGCCUGGCAGAACGAGGCCGAGCCACAUGGAGAGACCACUUGGCCAGCGAAUCUGCAGCUGUCACUCCGAGGGGUUGCACAGAAAGAUGGAAAUGGGUGGAACGGGGGAAAAGGACGAGGACAGAAAUGAAUAUGGCGCUGCUUCACGGCUGAACACCGGUGAUGGGUUUCCAUCUCUAUCAGGACAUCAUGCAGAGAAUUUGAGAAAGAAAUCAAGCCAGGUGCAGUGGUACAUGCCAGUGAUCCCAGCACUCAGGAGGCAGAAGCAGGAGCAUCACUGCGAGUUUGAAGCCAACCUAGGUUACGCAGUGAGUACAAGGCCUAUCUGAACUACAUAGUAA
This is a long non-coding RNA of Fukomys damarensis (Damara mole-rat), 917 nucleotides long. RefSeq lists it as uncharacterized. The transcript is spliced from 5 exons. NCBI's taxonomy places the organism in Eukaryota, Metazoa, Chordata, Mammalia, Rodentia, Bathyergidae. The record is from RefSeq and is a predicted model, not a curated record.